RNAcentral lists this ribosomal RNA (253 nucleotides) under uncultured bacterium. RNAcentral's name for it is "partial 16S ribosomal RNA". It matches the Rfam family "Bacterial small subunit ribosomal RNA", at positions 524 to 776 of the family's 1533-position model. The record is from RNAcentral.
UACGUAGGGUGCGAGCGUUAAUCGGAAUUACUGGGCGUAAAGCGUGCGUAGACGGUUAUUUAAGUCGGGUGUGAAAGCCCCGGGCUCAACCUGGGAAUGGCAUUUGGGACUGCAAGGCUCGAGUGCGGCAGAGGAGACUGGAAUUCCUGGUGUAGCAGUGAAAUGCGUAGAUAUCAGGAGGAACACCGAUGGCGAAGGCAGGUCUCUGGGCUGACACUGACGCUCAUGCACGAAAGCGUGGGGAGCAAACAGG